Long non-coding RNA from Myotis myotis, 726 nucleotides. RefSeq lists it as uncharacterized. The record is from RefSeq and is a predicted model, not a curated record. NCBI's taxonomy places the organism in Eukaryota, Metazoa, Chordata, Mammalia, Chiroptera, Vespertilionidae. The transcript is spliced from 3 exons.
GCCGGAAGGACUGGGCCGAGCAUUUCCUGAGCGAAGGAGGGCUGGCUGCGGCUCCGAGGUGUCAGCCUAACGGUGACCUCUUCUAUCCCACAGCACUCCAUUUAUUUCCAUCAUAACAGGAAAAGGUAUAAUUUUGUUUGGUUAAUAAAGAAUCAAGAAGUGGACAGACCAAGAUGGCGGCAUAGGUAAACACCUGUACUUGCUGCCUCAUACAACCACAUCAAAAUUACAACUAAAAUACAUAACAACUAUCAUCCAGAACCAUGGGAAAGCUGGCUGAGUGGAAUUACUACAACUAGAGAGGUAAAGAAGAAAGUUCAAGAUUGGUAUGAGGUACGGAGGCAUGGAAUGGGCUGGCACCCAGGUGUGCCACUCUUUUAAUUGGGAGGGAUAUACAAGCUCCCACUUGCUCUGAGCUCCAGUGCCGGGUGAGACUCUGGGGGACCCAGACACAUAUGGGGAGAAACUCGACUGUCUGUCAUUGGGGCAGGAAUGUGGGGCGGCUCUCUUCCAGACGGAGUUGCUUGCAAUGGUCAUGGUUCCUGUGCUGGGACCUCCCCCCGUGCAGGGCUGACUGGAAGCCAUUGCUGUUUGCUCUGCCCUGGAGAUACCCUGAGACCCUUCCCGAUCCAAUUUACAACUCCCCUCAAGCUGUGUGCAGUGGCUUUUGCAUAUGAAUGGCCUGUCCUUUCUCAGACUAAAACCUGUCAAACAAACUGCAGCUGA